UAAAAGAAAUAAAUAUUAAUUCAUUUUUGCUUGGGCACUACGAACACAUGUUUAAAACCCAAAGAACUUGGCGGUACUUUAACCCACUUAGGGGAACCUGUCCUUUAAUUCGAUAAUCCACGACAAUCUUAUUUAUUUUAGAACACUUCAGCUUGUAUACCGUCGUCAUAAGUUAACCUUAAAAAGAAAAAAAGUUAACAACAAAGAUAAAAUUUAAUAAUUUUCUCCUAGGUCAGAUCAAGGUGCAGCUAAUAAAUAAAGAGGAGAUGGGUUACAAUUGAUAAAUUUCAAAUGGAAUUUUUAAAGAAAAUAAAAACGAAAUAGGACUUAAAAGUAAUUUUAUGAUAACAAACAUUAAUGAAUAAGGAAAUAAAGUGUGC
RNAcentral lists this ribosomal RNA (380 nucleotides) under Cellana talcosa. RNAcentral describes it as "partial 12S ribosomal RNA". It matches the Rfam family "Bacterial small subunit ribosomal RNA", at positions 874 to 1384 of the family's 1533-position model. The record is from RNAcentral. Lineage: Eukaryota; Metazoa; Mollusca; Gastropoda; Nacellidae.